UUCGGGUUGUAAAGCCCUUUCGGCGGGGACGAAAACGACCGGGCCAGUAGACGGGGCGGAUGAUGGUACCGGCCAAGAACCACCGGAUAACUACGUGGCAGCGGCCGGGCCAAUACGAAUGGGGCGAGAGGUAAUCGAAAUUACUGGGCGUGAAGGAUGCGCGGGAGGCCCUGUCAGACCGGAGGGAAAUCCCCGCACUCGACCUGUAAACUGCACUGGAGACUGCAGGAAUUCAGAACGAAACAGGGGGAUGGAAUUCCAGUAGGAACAACGACAUGGGUAAAGAUCAUGAGGAACACCGAAGCUGAAGGUGGCCCCCUGGGGCGGGACUGGCCAUCAG
This 340-nucleotide ribosomal RNA is filed under the name uncultured bacterium. RNAcentral describes it as "bacterial SSU rRNA". It matches the Rfam family "Bacterial small subunit ribosomal RNA", at positions 417 to 750 of the family's 1533-position model. The record is from RNAcentral.